This 320-nucleotide unclassified non-coding RNA is filed under the name fungal sp. RNAcentral describes it as "partial internal transcribed spacer region". The stretch from base 1 to 46 matches the Rfam family "Eukaryotic small subunit ribosomal RNA", at positions 1786 to 1831 of the family's 1831-position model. Lineage: Eukaryota; Fungi. The record is from RNAcentral.
AAGUCGUAACAAGGUUUCCGUAGGUGAACCUGCGGAAGGAUCAUUAACACAAAGUCACAGUUGUUUCCUUUUUCUCUCGCAGAGAAGGGGGCAACAUGUCACUUUUCACCCCCCUUUGUGCAAACUUGUUUUUCUUCAGUAUUCCCGGGCAAGUUAGCAGUCGUCAUGACUGAGAGCUUGUCUGUUGGUUUCACUUUUCAACCCCUUGAACUGUCUUGGACUGAAAUCUGAGUGUUUUUCUUUCUUCGUAAGAAGAAAAAAAGCAUUCUGCCAUUAUAUCAAACGCUGAACAACUCUUAGCAACGGAUAUCUUGGCUCUC